Molecule: long non-coding RNA, 2004 nt
Organism: Eriocheir sinensis (Chinese mitten crab)
Lineage: Eukaryota; Metazoa; Arthropoda; Malacostraca; Decapoda; Varunidae
Exons: 2
Source: RefSeq, a predicted model, not a curated record
UUCAGGAGUAGUUUUAUGACCCUGGUUGUGGUUUGACCUUUCCUCUGUACCGUCAACCUAAAGAAACACUCAUUAGAACCCGAUUGAUCUCCUUUUUGAUCUUUGGAAAUGGUGUGAGGGAUGCCCGGACCAAGAUUAACUAUUUGGCAAGGUUUUCGGUGGAGUUUGUGGCAUUUCCAGGGGUAGUUUUAUGACCCUGGUGGUAGUUUGACCUUUGCUUUGUACAGUGAACCUAAAGAAACACUCAUUAGAACCCAAUUGAUCUCCUUUUUGGCCUUUGAAAUUGUUUGAUGUGAGGGAUGCCCGGAUCAACAUCACCUAUUUGGCAAGGCUUUCGUAGGAGUUUGUGGCAUUUCCAGGGGUAGUUUUAUGACCCUGGUGGUAGUUUGACCUUUGCUUUGUACAGUGAACCUAAAGAAACACUCAAUUAGAACCCAAUUGAUCUCCUUUUUGGCCUUUGAAAUUGUUUGAUGUGAGGGAUGCCCGGAUCAACAUCACCUAUUUGGCAAGGCUUUCGUAGGAGUUUGUGGCAUUUCCAGGGGUAGUUUUAUGACCCUGGCGGUAGUUUGACCUUUGCUUGACCUAAAGAAACACUCAUUAGAACCCAACUGAUCUCCUUUUUGGGCUUGAUAGAAUGGAUAGGGGUAUGGAGAGGGAGACGAAAAAGUGGGCAGUUACAAUGACGUAAGAAAUAUUUGAUAGGUGAUUAUAAACACUCGUAUUCUCAGGCACUUUGGGUUCUCACAACAGCUACCAAGGCCACAUAAGUUCUCGUGAGUGUUUUUCAUGUUCAUGGUUCAGAAGGCUUAUCAAACUACUGCCAAGCUCAUAAAAGUAUGCAUGGAAACACUAACACAACCUUUACUAAAGCCUGAUUCUUUAUGUAUUCUUUGGUUCUGGGUUCUAAUGAGUGUGUUUUCACGUUCAUGGUACAGAAGAAGCCUCGUCAAACUAUUAAUAAGCCCGUGGAAAUACUAACACAGCCUCCACCAAAGCCUUAUUCUUAACGUAUUCUGACGCUUUCGCCUCACUAAAACUAUUUCCCAAGGACACAAAGGAGGUGAGUCGGGUUGUCUGUUCUCAUGAGUGUGUUUUCACGUUCAUGGUACAGAAGAUGCCUUGACAAACCACCACCAGGCUCAUAACACUACCCAUGGAAACACUAACACGGCCUCUACCAAAGCAUAGCCAAAUGUGGAUGUGUGAGCCCCGAGAAAUGUUUUAAAAUAUUAACGUUAGAUAAUAGAUUUAGGGUAGAGAGGAAGCAUAUCAAGGAACCCCCAAAGACCCCUAAUAACAGACCGAUAAAGACAGAUAGAGAAAGAUGUGUACGUGGAAGAUGGAAGCGUCCUUAAAAAUUCGAUUCUGAAGAAAUAUGAAUCACUAAAAGAUUGAUAUUAACAUUAGAUGAUGUAUUAUGAAGAUUAUUAUAAAGAAGCAGCAAAGUCGGGCCACCUGAGUCAACAUUUAUUACGUUUAUUGAAGAAAGAUACACAACAUUAGUGACAAGUGUUCGAGUAUGGGUGGUCACGACGUCCUAGUAAAUCCGAGGGAUGGGAAACUAUUAGAGGAUAGAAAUUGCUUAAUGAGAGGCCACAGUAUAACAUUAGAGAUGGAUUUGAUGGUAGUAGAAGUGGUGGUGGUGGUAGUAGUAGUAGUAGUAGUAGUAGUAGUAGUUUGUAGCCGUUUCAACAUUUCUGACUGGCUGAGUGGGUAUUUAACUGCCUGACUGACUACCUGACUGAUCGACUUACUGAUUGACUGACUGACGGGUUCACUGGAAGGAUUGGUAAUCAACUGACAGACUGAAUUACUGGUUGAUUGACUGACUGACUGAACGGCUGACUGACUGACUGACUGACAAGCUGACGGGCUGACUAAUUAGCUCGACAGAUGGUUCGGAAACUGACUGACUGACUGACUGACUGAUUGAUUGACUGACUGACAGGUACGGUAUGGCAGGGAUGGGGUGGGACAGCCGGGAGAGAGAGAGAGAGAGAGAGA